GAUGAACGCUGGCGGCGUGCCUAAUACAUGCAAGUCGAGCGAACGGACGAGAAGCUUGCUUUUCUGAUGUUAGCGGCGGACGGGUGAGUAACACGUGGAUAACCUACCUAUAAGACUGGGAUAACUUCGGGAAACCGGAGCUAAUACCGGAUAAUAUUUUGAACCGCAUGGUUCAAAAGUGAAAGACGGUCUUGCUGUCACUUAUAGAUGGAUCCGCGCUGCAUUAGCUAGUUGGUAAGGUAACGGCUUACCAAGGCAACGAUGCAUAGCCGACCUGAGAGGGUGAUCGGCCACACUGGAACUUAGACACGGUCCAGACUCCUACGGGAGGCAGCAGUAGGGAAUCUUCCGCAAUGGGCGAAAGCCUGACGGAGCAACGCCGCGUGAGUUAUGAAGGUCUUCGGAUCGUAAAACUCUGUUAUUAGGGAAGAACAUAUGUGUAAGUAACUGUGCACAUCUUGACGGUACCUAAUCAGAAAGCCACGGCUAACUACGUG
RNAcentral lists this ribosomal RNA (497 nucleotides) under uncultured bacterium. RNAcentral's name for it is "partial 16S ribosomal RNA". It matches the Rfam family "Bacterial small subunit ribosomal RNA", at positions 28 to 507 of the family's 1533-position model. The record is from RNAcentral.